Molecule: ribosomal RNA, 1395 nt
Filed under: Escherichia coli
Lineage: Bacteria; Pseudomonadati; Pseudomonadota; Gammaproteobacteria; Enterobacterales; Enterobacteriaceae
Description: partial 23S ribosomal RNA
Rfam family: Bacterial large subunit ribosomal RNA
Source: RNAcentral
CGAAUGCUGACAUAAGUAACGAUAAAGCGGGUGAAAAGCCCGCUCGCCGGAAGACCAAGGGUUCCUGUCCAACGUUAAUCGGGGCAGGGUGAGUCGACCCCUAAGGCGAGGCCGAAAGGCGUAGUCGAUGGGAAACAGGUUAAUAUUCCUGUACUUGGUGUUACUGCGAAGGGGGGACGGAGAAGGCUAUGUUGGCCGGGCGACGGUUGUCCCGGUUUAAGCGUGUAGGCUGGUUUUCCAGGCAAAUCCGGAAAAUCAAGGCUGAGGCGUGAUGACGAGGCACUACGGUGCUGAAGCAACAAAUGCCCUGCUUCCAGGAAAAGCCUCUAAGCAUCAGGUAACAUCAAAUCGUACCCCAAACCGACACAGGUGGUCAGGUAGAGAAUACCAAGGCGCUUGAGAGAACUCGGGUGAAGGAACUAGGCAAAAUGGUGCCGUAACUUCGGGAGAAGGCACGCUGAUAUGUAGGUGAAGUCCCUCGCGGAUGGAGCUGAAAUCAGUCGAAGAUACCAGCUGGCUGCAACUGUUUAUUAAAAACACAGCACUGUGCAAACACGAAAGUGGACGUAUACGGUGUGACGCCUGCCCGGUGCCGGAAGGUUAAUUGAUGGGGUUAGCGCAAGCGAAGCUCUUGAUCGAAGCCCCGGUAAACGGCGGCCGUAACUAUAACGGUCCUAAGGUAGCGAAAUUCCUUGUCGGGUAAGUUCCGACCUGCACGAAUGGCGUAAUGAUGGCCAGGCUGUCUCCACCCGAGACUCAGUGAAAUUGAACUCGCUGUGAAGAUGCAGUGUACCCGCGGCAAGACGGAAAGACCCCGUGAACCUUUACUAUAGCUUGACACUGAACAUUGAGCCUUGAUGUGUAGGAUAGGUGGGAGGCUUUGAAGUGUGGACGCCAGUCUGCAUGGAGCCGACCUUGAAAUACCACCCUUUAAUGUUUGAUGUUCUAACGUUGACCCGUAAUCCGGGUUGCGGACAGUGUCUGGUGGGUAGUUUGACUGGGGCGGUCUCCUCCUAAAGAGUAACGGAGGAGCACGAAGGUUGGCUAAUCCUGGUCGGACAUCAGGAGGUUAGUGCAAUGGCAUAAGCCAGCUUGACUGCGAGCGUGACGGCGCGAGCAGGUGCGAAAGCAGGUCAUAGUGAUCCGGUGGUUCUGAAUGGAAGGGCCAUCGCUCAACGGAUAAAAGGUACUCCGGGGAUAACAGGCUGAUACCGCCCAAGAGUUCAUAUCGACGGCGGUGUUUGGCACCUCGAUGUCGGCUCAUCACAUCCUGGGGCUGAAGUAGGUCCCAAGGGUAUGGCUGUUCGCCAUUUAAAGUGGUACGCGAGCUGGGUUUAGAACGUCGUGAGACAGUUCGGUCCCUAUCUGCCGUGGGCGCUGGAGAACUGAGGGGGG